CCUGCAAAACGUUCUAUCGCUUUCCCGACCUGUUCGGGAGGGAGGAAAGUCCGGGCAACACAGAGCAUCCUGCUUCCUAACGGGAAGGCGCUUUAAGCAAGCGACAGCCAGUGCCACAGAAAAUAUACCGCCCGCUAUUCAUAGCAGGUAAGGGUGAAAACGUGAGGUAAGAGCUCACGGCAGUUACGGGCGACCGUGACCGCGGUAAACCUCAGGAGUUGAAAAACCAAAUAGGUCCCGGAAGUGGAGUUGCUCGCUUCCGUAUCCGCCACCGGCGGGUCGCCGGGAUGGGUAGGUUGCUAAAGCC
Molecule: RNase P RNA, 307 nt
Filed under: Pedobacter sp.
Lineage: Bacteria; Pseudomonadati; Bacteroidota; Sphingobacteriia; Sphingobacteriales; Sphingobacteriaceae
Description: partial RNase P RNA component class A
Rfam family: Bacterial RNase P class A
About the family: Ribonuclease P (RNase P) is a ubiquitous endoribonuclease, found in archaea, bacteria and eukarya as well as chloroplasts and mitochondria. Its best characterised activity is the generation of mature 5'-ends of tRNAs by cleaving the 5'-leader elements of precursor-tRNAs. Cellular RNase Ps are ribonucleoproteins.
Source: RNAcentral